GACGAACGCUGGCGGCGUGCCUAACACAUGCAAGUCAACUUGACUGAAGGAGCAAUCUGACAGUAGAGUGGCGCAAGGGUGCGUAACGCGUAAGUAACUUGCCCAAGGUAAGGAAUAACGUCGAGAAAUCGGCGCUAAUACCUCAUAAUGCAGCGGAUCCGCAUGGAUAUGUUGUUAAAGGUUUACCGCCUUGAGAUAGGCUUGCGUCUGAUUAGCUAGUUGGUGUGGUAACGGCACACCAAGGCUACGAUCAGUAACUGGUCUGAGAGGAUGAUCAGUCACACUGGAACUGAGACACGGUCCAGACUCCUACGGGAGGCAGCAGUGAGGAAUAUUGGGCAAUGCUCGAAAGAGUGACCCAGCAACGCCGCGUGGAGAUGAAGGUAUUCUAUAUCGUAAACUCCUGUGAGAGCAGACGAAAGACAGAUUAAUUAAUCUGGAUGACUGUAUGCUC
This 454-nucleotide ribosomal RNA is filed under the name uncultured bacterium. RNAcentral's name for it is "bacterial SSU rRNA". It matches the Rfam family "Bacterial small subunit ribosomal RNA", at positions 28 to 482 of the family's 1533-position model. The record is from RNAcentral.